CCCUCCCAGUGAAAGUGGAUAUAAAGGAGCACACGGUGCCAGGCCCGUGGCCAACUCUGAACCACGACCAGCGCCGGAGCGUGAUAUUUGGACUUACAGAGAUCGCCGACCAAUGGGAAAAUCUGAAAGCCAAGUGGUGGUGGAGGUGCCCCCCGCCCUUCCCGUGUGCCCCCCAGGAAUGAGAAACAUGGAGAGCGAGUUUGGUGGGGCGGCCCAUCUAGUUGCACAAGACUGAGGAGGAGGAGCGGCUGGAGGAGCGGACUCGCCCCUUCUGCUUGCAGCGCGUGGCCCUUCGUGUUCCACGAGAAGAUGGAGUUCGUCCAGGCGCGUGGUCCAGAGAAGCGAGGGCGGAAAGGUCAGGACGGGAGACCGAGCAUGGAUGACCAGGGUACGGUGCGGUUGAUUUUGUUCCACCCAGCUCCACGUGGUUUCCACCAUGGGUCUCAGUGGCUCCACGUGACUCCCCCUGACUGAAUAAACGAAAUAGGUACCACCCAAUGUAGCAAAACUUUAGUCGUACUCAUGUAUUUAUUGGCUCAAUGAUAACACCACUCAUUUGACGCGAUUACCACACAAUUCACUAUUAUUGGCCACAUUCUAAAACUGUAACCGCUAAAGGGAUGCCACCUCAGGUGGUACCGACAGGUGACACAUCUGACCCCGUCUCAUGGACUAAAUACACCACGAACCCGGCGACCUGAGAUCCACCACUUGGGUUGGCUCAAUGUUAACUCGACUUAGUUGAGUACCUUUUGUGGCGUGUAAACAUCGGUAUUGGGGAGACAAAGGCGGCCGAGCGUGGUGUAGGCCACCUCACCAACUCGUGCGCCGUUCUAACCUUCAUAGGUGCUCGCUAACGGCACUUGCCCCAACAAUGUUACGGAUAUCAGGGGGA
Molecule: non-coding RNA, 895 nt
Organism: Petromyzon marinus (sea lamprey)
Lineage: Eukaryota; Metazoa; Chordata; Hyperoartia; Petromyzontiformes; Petromyzontidae
Source: RefSeq, a predicted model, not a curated record